RNAcentral lists this small nucleolar RNA (170 nucleotides) under Sugiyamaella lignohabitans. Lineage: Eukaryota; Fungi; Ascomycota; Dipodascomycetes; Dipodascales; Trichomonascaceae. The record is from RNAcentral.
UUGGGAAUUUAUCUCCGUCGCUGUGCCAUUUUUUAUAGACAGUGAAGGUAAACGACUCCCAUAUAUCGGAUUUCUAUUUAGCUAUAGAUUAGGUCAAUCUGCAGAAGGGCCUAUUGAGUUUUCAUUAACACUUUUGAUUUGAUAGGUCCUUUUGAUGAUUGUGCACAUAC